AGGGCUGCACAGGGUUCGGCGAGAUUUCGUUUCUGGAGAUAAACAAACAUGUCGAGUGUCACACGAUACUUAGUGCGAUGACGUUUUCGAUCUUAUACUGGGGAUAUUACAUAUUGGGAACAAAAUUUUUAGUAUCAAAUCUUGAAUAACUGCUCAUUAACAUCUGUUGUUAAGAUUACUUACGUAAAAGAGAUGUACUAUGUCUGUGGUAAAACACGAAGCUCAAGGUUCCAUGCGAGACUGAAGCUACAGAGUCAGCUGUUACGGUAUGUUAAAUUUUAGUCCUUUGAGAGAUAUAAUAUAGAUUUUAAUUAACAAGAAACUAAUUUUUUAUUUCCAAUAAUUCUAAAAGCUAUGUGAUGAAGUUUUAAAGGUAAGAAAAACCAUACAUCACCCCCACCCCCCAGCCAAAUUUCAACAUGAAUUAAAAUUAUCCGCGGCUAGCAGGUUACAGUUAUUGUCAAACCCUGAGUAUGCAUAUCAGUAUUCAGUUACUCCUAAAGAAAACUACUAUAAAGGUGACUGACUCGAACUAACUUAAUUUAUAUGCUUAGAUCAUAAUUGGUAACAUCAAUAAUCAUGGAAAACAGCACAAUCCAUAAAAUUUUGUGAAUGGGCAUAAGAAAGAACAAAUCACUGCACAGCUGGCAUUAUUCUCUAUGUUUUUGUAUUUACACAAAUAAUAGAUAAGUGAUAGCAAAUAUCAGUAAAAUAUAAUUGAAGAAAGCUAACAAAUAAUUAAAGGGGAAAAUGUAUAUAUAUUUAUUAUGUAUUUGUAUUAUAAAACUGUCUUGAUCCCAGUACAUUUGUUUGAUCUUUGUUUAUAAAAUGAAGACAAACUAGUGAUUUAUUAUAGUGAGAGUGUGCAAAUAUUAUAUUCAUAUUAAGCAAUAAAAUCAUUAUCAUAAUUGAAAACCUCAUAAUUAUAUAACUUUUUUAAAUUCUACUUUUCAAAAUGUAUUCAUUUCAAUUAUUAGAUGUAUAGGAAUGUCUUGAAAACAGAUGUCAAACAAUCAUCGAUGUAAGAUCUUAAGUCUGUACCACCUCGGGCUCAACAAACCAAAAAGGAUGGGCUCUAUUCCUUGCACUGUGCAGAUAACCGAAUUGUCAACAACAGGUAAUCACAUUUUGAUGAGUUACUGCUAAGCUUUACAUCAAUGCAUUGGAAACUGGUUCCUGACCAUCUGUACCCAUCGACUUGGUGGGUCUACUGUGAAGGACCUGAUUUCAAGCCAUGACUCUCCAUCUACUUCAUAACCACAAGACAGGCACUAGUUAUUGAUAGACUUGUAAUCUCAUGUCAUUGCCAAGAAUAUAUUGUACAAUUUGUGUGUCAUAAAUGAUCAAAUACUACCACUCUAGAGGAAAAAUCAAUUAAAUGUAGGCUUGACUUAUGUACAUAAGUAUCUACAUUAAAUUGUAUGAAAAGAAAA
Molecule: long non-coding RNA, 1433 nt
Organism: Ostrea edulis (European flat oyster)
Lineage: Eukaryota; Metazoa; Mollusca; Bivalvia; Ostreida; Ostreidae
Exons: 2
Source: RefSeq, a predicted model, not a curated record